UACGGGAGGCAGCAGUGGGGAAUAUUGCACAAUGGGCGCAAGCCUGAUGCAGCCAUGCCGCGUGUAUGAAAAAGGCCUUCGGGUUGUAAAGUACUUUCAGUCGUGAGGAAGGUGUUAAGGUUAAUAACCUUAGCAAUUGACGUUAGCGACAGAAGAAGCACCGGCUAACUCCGUGCCAGCAGCCGCGGUAAUACGGAGGGUGCGAGCGUUAAUCGGAAUUACUGGGCGUAAAGGGCACGCAGGCGGUUAAUUAAGUUGGAUGUGAAAUCCCCGGGCUUAACCUGGGAAUGGCAUUCAAGACUGGUUAGCUAGAGUCUUGUAGAGGGGGUAGAAUUCCAUGUGUAGCGGUGAAAUGCGUAGAGAUGUGGAGGAAUACCGGUGGCGAAGGCGGCCCCGUGGACAAAGACUGACGCUCAUGUGCGAAAGCGUGGGGAGCAAACAGGGAUUAGAUA
Molecule: ribosomal RNA, 452 nt
Filed under: uncultured bacterium
Lineage: Bacteria
Description: bacterial SSU rRNA
Rfam family: Bacterial small subunit ribosomal RNA
Source: RNAcentral